RNAcentral lists this ribosomal RNA (570 nucleotides) under uncultured bacterium. RNAcentral's name for it is "partial 16S ribosomal RNA". It matches the Rfam family "Bacterial small subunit ribosomal RNA", at positions 355 to 918 of the family's 1533-position model. The record is from RNAcentral.
UGGGGAAUUUUGGACAAUGGGCGAAAGCCUGAUCCAGCAAUGCCGCGUGUGUGAAGAAGGCCUUCGGGUUGUAAAGCACUUUUGUCCGGAAAGAAAUCCUCUGGGUUAAUACCUCGGGGGGAUGACGGUACCGGAAGAAUAAGCACCGGCUAACUACGUGCCAGCAGCCGCGGUAAUACGUAGGGUGCAAGCGUUAAUCGGAAUUACUGGGCGUAAAGCGUGCGCAGGCGGUUUUGUAAGACGGAUGUGAAAUCCCCGGGCUUAACCUGGGAACUGCAUUCGUGACUGCAAGGCUAGAGUAUGGCAGAGGGGGGUAGAAUUCCACGUGUAGCAGUGAAAUGCGUAGAGAUGUGGAGGAAUACCGAUGGCGAAGGCAGCCCCCUGGGCCAAUACUGACGCCCAUGCACGAAAGCGUGGGGAGCAAACAGGAUUAGAUACCCUGGUAGUCCACGCCCUAAACGAUGUCAACUAGUUGUUGGGGAUUCAUUUCCUUAGUAACGUAGCUAACGCGUGAAGUUGACCGCCUGGGGAGUACGGUCGCAAGAUUAAAACUCAAAGGAAUUGACGGGG